GACAGAGGCCACGAACGUUGUUCGGAAUCACUGGGCAUAAAGCGCACGUAGGCGGCUGGGUCCGUCGGACGUGAAAGCCCCCGGCUCAACCGGGGAAUUGCAUCCGAUACAGCCCGGCUUGAGGACGGUUGGGGUGAGUGGAACUCCUGGUGGAGCGGUGAAAUGCGUAGAUAUCAGGAGGAACACCGGUGGCGAAAGCGGCUCACUGGACCGUGACUGACGCUGAGGUGCGAAAGCUAGGGGAGCAAAUGGG
This 253-nucleotide ribosomal RNA is filed under the name uncultured bacterium. RNAcentral describes it as "partial 16S ribosomal RNA". It matches the Rfam family "Bacterial small subunit ribosomal RNA", at positions 524 to 776 of the family's 1533-position model. The record is from RNAcentral.